GGAAGGCAGCAGGAAGGAUGGGGAGUCCCUGGAGUUUGUAGCCACCUUUGAAUGGGGAACAGAUCCUCUGUGCCUCACUCGGACACCUUCUGCCUUUUUCCUUGAAGGCACCAACAGGAAAAGCUGGUGGCCCUGGGGAUGCUGCUGACCGCACACGCGCUGAAGAAACAGAAAAGAAGGUGGGAUGUCCAGUUCCCAAGGACCAAGGCUCUGUGUUUGAGAGUGUAGGGAGCAAUGUUCUCUCCUGGAUCUCCCAGGGGCUGGAGAAGGUGAUUCCCCAGCCAGCCCCAGGGACAAUGCAGUCACUUGGGAAGAGCUUUGAGACAAGCAUUGAUGUUCCUGAUCAGACAGAGGUCCAGAUCCUCGCGGACAAGGAAGAGGAUGCUCUGGAGAUAAUCCCCAUCGAUCUGGAGGAGGACGAACUGGAUGACUGCAAUGACAACACUGGCCCAGAUACUGGCACAGAGGAAUGGGCAGGAGCACGAGUGCUCAGCUGGCUGGUGCAGGGCUUUGAGAGGAUUGUGCCACAGCCGGAGGUGCUGAAAAAGCCAGAGCUGGAGCCAAAGGAGCAGAAGUGUGAAGCUGUGGCGGGAGGCACAAAAGGGGCUAAAACCCAGGCAAAGUCAAAAAGCAGUGUUUCAGCCACUCAGAGCAUCCCAGUAGCAGUGGAGCCAGCAGUGGUCAAGGCACAGCCGGAGCCGGUGGCUACCGUUGUCCCACGGUCCCCAGCUGGGGACGGCAGCAGGAUGUUUGCCUGGUUUGUCCAGGGGCUGGAGAAGGUGAUGCCGCAGCCGGUCACCAGGGAGAAGCAGGACACACAGGGAGUGGCUGCAGCAACCUUGAGUCCCGUGGAAGAAAGGGGCAAAGGGGCUUAA
Molecule: long non-coding RNA, 875 nt
Filed under: Athene cunicularia (burrowing owl)
Lineage: Eukaryota; Metazoa; Chordata; Aves; Strigiformes; Strigidae
Description: lncRNA (ENSACUG00000010050.1)
Source: RNAcentral